GCCGAGCUGGCGCUGCGCAGCCGCGGGGCGGCCGUCGCGCAUGCGGGGCUCACAAGGCUGCGGCCGGAGCCGCUGCCACUCCCGGGAGCAUGAAGGACCGAACCCAGGAGCUCCGCACGGCCAAGGACAGCGACGAUGAUGAUGACGUCGCCGUCACCGUGGACCGAGACCGCUUCAUGGAUGAGUUCUUCGAGCAGGUGGAGGAGAUUCGAGGCUUCAUUGACAAGAUCGCAGAGAACGUGGAGGAGGUGAAGCGGAAGCACAGCGCCAUUCUGGCCUCCCCCAACCCCGAUGAGAAGACGAAGGAGGAGCUGGAAGAACUCAUGUCGGACAUAAAGAAGACAGCGAACAAAGUCCGAUCCAAGUUAAAGAGCAUCGAGCAGUCCAUCGAGCAGGAGGAAGGCCUGAACCGCUCCUCCGCUGACCUGAGGAUCCGGAAGACACAGCACUCCACGCUAUCCAGAAAGUUUGUGGAGGUCAUGUCGGAGUACAACGCCACACAGUCCGACUACCGCGAGCGCUGCAAGGGCCGCAUCCAGAGGCAACUGGAGAUCACUGGCAGGACCACAACCAGUGAGGAGCUGGAGGACAUGCUGGAGAGUGGGAACCCGGCCAUCUUUGCCUCUGGUCCAGGGGCUCCUCCUCUUAUCCUUGGGCCCUUUCCCCUCCUGGAGGACAUUUGGCCAUCACUGCGUUCACGUGAAGCCGAGCAGGGGUGCUCCCUGAAGGAGGUGGCACACAGAUGUUCGAGAUCAUCAUGGACUCCAGCAUCUCGAAGCAGGCUCUGAGCGAGAUUGAGACGCGGCACAGCGAGAUCAUUAAGCUGGAGAACAGCAUCCGCGAGCUGCAUGAUAUGUUCAUGGACAUGGCCAUGCUCGUGGAGAGCCAGCCUCAGGAGGCUUUCCUGAAGUCCUGCCCCGAGCCCCGACCCAACCCUGAGGAGGGGGCCCUCUGGAGCUCGGGUGCCCCCGGCCCCGCAGGGGGAAAUGAUUGACAGGAUCGAGUACAAUGUGGAGCAUGCGGUGGACUACGUGGAGAGGGCUGUGUCUGACACCAAGAAGGCCGUCAAGUACCAAAGCAAGGCACGCCGGAAGAAAAUCAUGAUCAUCAUCUGCUGUGUGAUCCUGGGCAUCGUCAUCGCCUCCACGGUUGGGGGCAUCUUCGCCUAGAAGCCACCCAACUGCCACUCCACUCUGGGUGGGCCACUCCAAGGAGGCCCUGGCUGCUGCCGCCUGGCUGGGCUGCCCUCCCCACCCCUGCCUCUGGCUCAGAGCACCCUCCCUCCUAGCCCCCAUGCUCCCUUGUCUGCCAUGGGUCCUCCGUCCCCGCCCCGUGUCGUGUGCAUGAUCUCUGUGAGUGUGCGUCUGUACGGAAGAGGCAGAGGGAGGCAGCCAGCAGGGCGUGGCGCAGUGUGUGCAGCGAGGGGCAGACCCAGGCAGGGCCGCCAGGGUGACACAGGCCACCCUUCCUUGCCUUUAGUGACUCGGUGGCUCCAAGGGUCCACUCUUCCCUGGGGACCUAACCUUGCCUCCAACUCACCUGCCCUGUCCUCUGGCCUCUCCAGCUGUCCCCACAAGCAGGGCCCCGAGGGGUGGGGACCAGCUGGCCACAUGGUGCUGCUUUUCAGGUUAGGGGAGAGGUGGCCCUGAGGGAUAGCCCAGCUCCGAGCCUCAGUUGUUGAUCACUGCCAGGGAGGCUCAGGCUGCCGUGGCUCCAGGCUCCCUCCCCUGCCGAGGGGCAAAGUCCAUCGGGUCCGGGGUCUCCGCUUCCCUUCCCACAUUCCUCCAGCCCCAGGAGCAACCCCUUGGGCUGGGCCUGACCCAAGGUGUCCCUCUGGAAGCCACCCCAGCAGCUAGGGAGGCAGAGCAGGCUGCGGUCAGGCCCUCGAGCCAGCGCUUCAUGUUUGGAAUGGUGGCCCCUGCUGUCUUGCGCUCUGGGAAGUCAGAUGUCACUUCAAGCCGCAGUCUCAUCCAGCCCUUGCCGUUCCCCAUCAAUGUACCAUGUGGGUGUCAGGUGUCCCGGAUGCAGUAUUCAGCAGCCAGCCGGAGAGGGCUACCUCCUCCUCCUCACCACCUUGGGGCUUCUCAUGGGAAAUGUGCCCCCGCCCCAGGACCCCCUCCCUCGUGGACAGGCAGGGAGAUGCAUGCGAGUGCAUGCAGCAGGGGAUGGGGCUGUGUCCAUGUGCCCCGCCCUCCCUCGGCUUUACUCCUGCCCAGUGACUGUGACCACUGUCCGUGUUGCCUUCUACAGCGAUUCCCCUGAACCCCCCUUCACCAAAGGUCUUGGUACAACCAGCUGCCCAUUUUGUGAAAUUUUUAUGUAGAAUAAACAUUUGUAUCUGUA
Non-coding RNA from Saimiri boliviensis boliviensis (Bolivian squirrel monkey), 2343 nucleotides. Lineage: Eukaryota; Metazoa; Chordata; Mammalia; Primates; Cebidae. The record is from RefSeq and is a predicted model, not a curated record.